Homo sapiens (human) is the source of this 108-nucleotide small nuclear RNA. Lineage: Eukaryota; Metazoa; Chordata; Mammalia; Primates; Hominidae. The record is from Ensembl.
GUACUCGUUUCAGCAACACAUAUACUAAAAUUGGAAUGAUACAGAGAAGAUUAGCAUGACCCCCGUGCAGUGCAAGAAACAGAAUUUUUUAUUGAGCAAUAGAAUUAG